Molecule: long non-coding RNA, 927 nt
Organism: Pyrus x bretschneideri (Chinese white pear)
Lineage: Eukaryota; Viridiplantae; Streptophyta; Magnoliopsida; Rosales; Rosaceae
Exons: 2
Source: RefSeq, a predicted model, not a curated record
UGUAGGAUAUGUAUAUUAAAAAAUUAAUAACUAAAAAAAUAAAAUUUUUUUUCACUUACAUAAAAAUACGUGAUAUACCAUCUGUGUUUCUGUCACAUCUCAAAAUUUCUCCACAUUCACACCCUCCAUGAUCACACUAAGAGGACACGUGUUCACACACAAAACAAAUAGUUAAGUGGUAUGACAACUCACGCAUUCACACACUAAAACUACAAAAUAUAUAAUCAGCGAUAUUGCUAUUCACAUUCACAUUCACAUUCACAUUCACACCAUCCGUGAUCAGAUGCAGUCAGUACCUUCCCCUUUCCUCUCCCUGAGGAGACCCCAGCGCCGUCUCGAGCUGAAGCGCUACAACCUUGUCUCGUCUCAGCUAGUCUGCUGCUUCCAAGCCCAAGUCCAGCUCCAAUCCUCCGCCAAAAUAUCGAACCCAAAGUAGGGGAACACGAUCAACAGCCCCGGUGGCAAUAGAGACAACCAGAGAAGGCGGUUGAGAUCUUAAACAGCCAGCAACGGAGCAAGACUGAAAAGGUGUAAAAUUGUUUCCCUUUGCCAAUUGUGAUACGCGAUCUGUAAAUAUAGUCCCUGCAAGAAGAUGGAUGCUCAAUUGAGAGCCCUCCCCACCUCAUUUCCGUCAUGCUGUGGCCUAAACCUGAUGUGAAGACAGAGAACCUUCCGAUCCCAUGGAUAAAAACCAGCUGACAGAAGCUCAAGACCAAUACCCGUAUCACAUGGCGUUGCUCGUCAACGAGGCCCUGCAAUCAAGAGUAGUAAUCACCCAAAUUACUUCUAAGUUCAUUUGAAAUUAUGAAUGAUAAACGAAUACGAGAAGAAAAUACUUGUUUUAAGAGCUAAGAGUCUAAGACAAGGAAAGUUCGAUCAAAGGAUUAAAAAAAAAUAUAAUAAAAUAAAAGGGUUUGCACCUCUCCA